AUUAAUGUAACAGGAACAUGUAACACACACAUUAAUGCAGCAGGAAUAUUAAUACAGAAACAUAAGAUAUAAUAGUGAAACACUAACAGGGAAAAUUUACUGCAAAAUUAAUAUUUUUUACUUUCAUACUUUUAAAUACAUAUUGCUGAUUAUACUCACAUACUUUUCCUUUUACUAUGUAAGGAUUUGAAUGCAGUACUUUAACUUGUAGUGGAGUCUUUUCACAGUGUGGUAUUAGUACUUUUACUGAAGUAAACUACUGAAUACUUCACUGUAUUUCUCUGGAUGUGUUUCAGUGUCUCUGUGUUACCUGACAGCAGCCAUCUCCUCCUCAGUGAACUGACGACCCGCCGCAUCACUCAGCAGCCAAACUAACAGGGUCACACACACGGGAGCGGGAUACAGGAAAUUGAAUAAAACACAAAGAAGUGAAGAAAAACACACGAGCACAGUUCGUCUUCGUACUUCGAUGUCAAGAGUUCCAGCAUUAGUCCCGUCUUCCUGUUUCCCAAGCGUUUGAUUCCCCGGCUUCCUCGACCUUGUUUCCGUGACUCGAUUCUGCCCUUGCCUGAUCCUUGUCUGCUGUACUGCUACGCUGAGUAUCUGCCCGUGUACCAAACCUGUUUCCGUGACCCGACUCUGCUCCUGGAUUACCCCUUGAUAAUUUGUAUGAUCAACUGUCUAUGCGUGUACCAUAGCAACUGCAAAGUUUUCAGUAAAGACUAUUCCCAUUCAACACUUAUCUGACUCUGUGUCGUGCAAUUGAGUCACACCUCCCUUCUGUCUUGAUCGUACCGUUACAGGGUGCUGGUGAAUGGUUGGCCGGUGGUAACCAUCCAAGGUGGAUCACUUGGAAGUGCAGGAUGAGGUCAGCUGAUGGUGGAUGAUGUUGAUUUUGGUGUCAAAGAAUUGCAGGAAGUCGUCGUGGUGGUGGUUGGAGACAUCUGGAGGGAGAGUUGUAGCAGGUUGAAGUAGGUGGCUGACUGUUG
Molecule: long non-coding RNA, 989 nt
Filed under: Cottoperca gobio
Lineage: Eukaryota; Metazoa; Chordata; Actinopteri; Perciformes; Bovichtidae
Description: lncRNA (ENSCGOG00000001894.1)
Source: RNAcentral